CCCCACCCACGGCAAUCAUCUCUUUCCGCGAAGCUUCCCCCCCGACACCCCGUUUCCGGAACACGCCGCUAUCCCUGUCGUCGCGAGGAAGGUCAGAUGCUGCCGGAAACCCCGAGAGAAGAUUAGUUUAUUGCCGAGUACCUGUGAUGGAGAGACCUCUGGAUGGCCAGUAAGUCGUAAACAAUGUCCGGGCACUGCGGCCAUCUCCGACAAAGGGAACCAUCGGAGAAUCGUUGAACCUGUUGGUCGGGAGAAACGUAGUGCCGAUGAAGCUGAAGACGCCAUCGGUAUUUCUGCGC
This 299-nucleotide long non-coding RNA is filed under the name Spirodela polyrhiza (greater duckweed). RNAcentral's name for it is "long non-coding RNA (SPOL_LNC000852)". Lineage: Eukaryota; Viridiplantae; Streptophyta; Magnoliopsida; Alismatales; Araceae. The record is from RNAcentral.